This 856-nucleotide ribosomal RNA is filed under the name uncultured bacterium. RNAcentral describes it as "bacterial SSU rRNA". It matches the Rfam family "Bacterial small subunit ribosomal RNA", at positions 524 to 1376 of the family's 1533-position model. The record is from RNAcentral.
UACGUCCCUUUUGCGAGCGUUAAUCGGAAUUACUGGGCGUAAAGCGUGCGCAGGUGGUUUGUUAAGUCAGAUGUGAAAGCCCCGAGCUUAACUUGGGAACUGCGUUUGAAACUGGUAAGCUAGAGUCUGUCAGAGGGGGGUAGAAUUCCACGUGUAGCAGUGAAAUGCGUAGAGAUGUGGAGGAAUACCAAUGGCGAAGGCAGCCCCCUGGGAUAAGACUGACGCUCAUGCACGAAAGCGUGGGGAGCAAACAGGAUUAGAUACCCUGGUAGUCCACGCCCUAAACGAUGUCAACUGGUUGUUGGGCAACUUGAUUGUUCAGUAACGAAGCUAACGCGAGAAGUUGACCGCCUGGGGAGUACGGUCGCAAGAUUAAAACUCAAAGGAAUUGACGGGGACCCGCACAAGCGGUGGAUGAUGUGGAUUAAUUCGAUGCAACGCGAAAAACCUUACCUACCCUUGACAUGUACGGAAGUCUGCUGAGAGGUGGAUGUGCCUGAAAGGGAACCGUAACACAGGUGCUGCAUGGCUGUCGUCAGCUCGUGUCGUGAGAUGUUGGGUUAAGUCCCGCAACGAGCGCAACCCUUGCUAUUAAUUGCCAUCAUUAAGUUGGGCACUUUAAUAGGACUGCUGGUGAUAAACCGGAGGAAGGUGGGGAUGACGUCAAGUCCUCAUGGCCCUUAUGGGUAGGGCUUCACACGUCAUACAAUGGCCGGUACAGAGGGAUGCCAACCCGCGAGGGGGAGCCAAUCUCAGAAAGCCGGUCGUAGUCCAGGAUUGUUCUCUGCAACUCGAGAGCAUGAAGUCGGAAUCGCUAGUAAUCGCGGAUCAGCAUGUCGCGGUGAAUACGUUCCCG